GACGAACGCUGGCGGCGUGCUUAACACAUGCAAGUCGUACGGUAAGGCCCUUUCGGGGGUACACGAGUGGCGAACGGGUGAGUAACACGUGAGUAACCUGCCCACAACUUUGGGAUAACGCUAGGAAACUGGUGCUAAUACUGGAUAUGUGCUCCUGCUGCAUGGUGGGGGUUGGAAAGCUCCGGCGGUUGUGGAUGGACUCGCGGCCUAUCAGCUUGUUGGUGGGGUAGUGGCCUACCAAGGCGGCGACGGGUAGCCGGCCUGAGAGGGUGACCGGCCAGAGGGGGACGGAGGCAGGGCCCAGAGUCCUAGGGGAGGCAGGAGGAGGGCAUCUGCCGCAAGGGCCGAAAGUCUGAGGGAGCCACGGCGCGUGAGCGAAGAAGGCCUUCGGGUCGUAAAGCUGUGUUGUGAGGGAAGAACAAGUAAAGCAGUAACUGGCGUUACCGGGACGGUACCUAACGAGAAAGCAACGGCUAACUACGU
This 483-nucleotide ribosomal RNA is filed under the name uncultured bacterium. RNAcentral's name for it is "partial 16S ribosomal RNA". It matches the Rfam family "Bacterial small subunit ribosomal RNA", at positions 28 to 506 of the family's 1533-position model. The record is from RNAcentral.